GGAAUAUACCUGAAAGGGGGUACAACUCUAGAUUAUGAUACCACAUCGUCCUAUACAUUGACAGUACAAUGCAGUGAUCUGAGAAGAAAUGAUACUGGAGUUUUUACGAUUAACCUCAUACGGAAUACGCCCCCAGUUAUCAACAGUUUACCAACGAACACAAAUAUAUCAGAAGAGGUCAUAACUAAAACAUUUCUUCACUUAUUGAACACAACAGAUGUAAAUGUUAACGACACCAUAACAUGUGUACUUACCGUGCAUAUUGACACAUUUUCACUGGAAAAACUACCUCCAACGUUAGAUUAUUAUGCAGUCUUCCUCAAAGCAGGCAUAAUACUGAACUUUGAUAUUACGUCAAGCUAUGCAUUAAUUAUAGAAUGCGGCGAUCAUCGUAGAAAUGUUACAGAUGUUUUGACAGUUGACAUAAUAAAUCCAAAUAUGGCACCAAGCAUUACUAAUUUACCGAUGAGUUGCGAAAUACCAGAAACCAUCAGCACAGAGUCUUUACUGUAUACCAUAUCUGUUACCGACCCAUCAAACGAUACAGUGACAUGUAAUGACACCUCAUCUUCAGUAAUGUUUUAUCUUCAACCUGGAAUAGAACCAUUUGAGACCAACAUAUACAUUAGACCAAACCAAGCACUUAAUUACGACAUUCAAAGACAAUACAAAUUAGAUAUCUUUUGCGCUGACCAGCGAAGGAACGAUUCUUCGAUUUUCUUUAUCUACCUUAUCCGUAAUAUGCCUCCGUCUCUCACCAAUC
Mytilus californianus (California mussel) is the source of this 763-nucleotide long non-coding RNA. RefSeq lists it as uncharacterized. The record is from RefSeq and is a predicted model, not a curated record. The transcript is spliced from 5 exons. NCBI's taxonomy places the organism in Eukaryota, Metazoa, Mollusca, Bivalvia, Mytilida, Mytilidae.